This is an RNA transcript of Epinephelus moara (kelp grouper), 1481 nucleotides long. It is a transcript of the gene named low affinity immunoglobulin gamma Fc region receptor II-like, with no coding region annotated. NCBI's taxonomy places the organism in Eukaryota, Metazoa, Chordata, Actinopteri, Perciformes, Serranidae. The transcript is spliced from 9 exons. The record is from RefSeq and is a predicted model, not a curated record.
CAGAGACACACACAGAGGAAGGAGGUGGGCUUUACUCGGUGUGAACAGUUAACAUUCAUGUGCUGAUCUCAGAUGAGCGAGACAUGAAAUGGAGGAAUCAUCGUUACAGUGGCUGCUGGUUGUGACCUCGCUGCUGAGCUGCACAACAAACCAAGCCUCUCUGACUGUGAGUCCCAGCAGCUCUCAGAUGUUUGAAGGAGAAUCUGUCUCUCUGAGCUGUGAGGAGGACGACAGCUCUGCUGGAUGGACUCUGAGGAGGAACACAACCAGACAGAAGAUGUCUCAGUGCGGAGCUGGAUGGGGAAGAUCAGCUGGUUCUGUCUGUAACAUCAGCUACAUCUUCUUAUGGCACAGUGGAGUUUACUGGUGUGAGUCCAGAGAGGGAGCAACCAGUAAGAGCAUCAACAUCAGUGUCACUGGUGGAUCAGUGAUCCUGCAGAGUCCUGUCCUCCCUGUGAUGGAGGGACAUGAUGUCACUCUGCACUGUAAAACAAAGACGUCCUCCAACCUCCCAGCUGCUUUCUAUAAAGAUGGCUCCUUCAUCAGGACUGAGCCUGCAGGUCACAUGACCAUCCGCCAUGUAACCAGGUCUGAUGAAGGCCUCUACAAGUGUGACAUCACAGGUCAUGGAGAGUCUCCACCCAGCUGGCUCACUGUCACAGGAAGACCCACCACUACACCUUCUCCCACAACCACCCAUACCUCUGGUUCCUCCUCUUCCUCACCCAGCUCUACCUCUGGUUCCCCUCCUCCUGAGUACAUCCUGUGGGCUGUGGUUUCAUCGGUCUGUGUGCUGGUGUUGCUGGUGUUGCUGGUUCUCCUGGUGAGACGAUGCAGCCACAGGAAACAUAAAGCUGCUGAAGUUGGAGAUGAUGACAUCAGAGAUGACAUCAAAAUAUCACGUAACCUACAACAGCCAAUCAGACAGAGCAGAGAGAGCGAUCCAGCUGCCGUCUACUCAGCAGUGAGAAGAGCAGACGACGUCAGCUACGGACAAAUAGUCUUCAAAGACAUCAGAUCAAACAGGAAGAGAGAGAGCGAAUCAGCUGCAGUUUACUCAGCAGUGAGAAGAAAAGAAGACGUCAGUUAUGGACAAAUAGAGAUCAGGCCGAACAGGAGGAGAGGUACAGCUGCUCUUUAUUACUGAACUCUACCACAGAGCCAGGCUAGCUGUUUCCCCCUGCUUCCAGUCUUUGUGCUAAGAGCCUCCAGCAGAGCCACAGGUCGUCUACUCUUCACUGAGGUAGACCUUCACACUUUCACACCAGUCCAACCAGUGAAUCCAGCUGGCCUGUCACUGGUCCCCACAGCCCCUCACACCUCAGGACAUUCAUGGGCUUUAUUUCUUAUUUAUAUAUGUGAAAGUUAAAUGAGACUGGUGCAGCUACAGAGAGACAAACAGCUUCACUUUACACAUUAUUGUUUUACUUUUCUUUGGAUAAAUAACUUGUUAAAUACUUAUUUGUUUAGGUGGUAGUGUU